UGUAUAAGAGACAGCUUGGUCAUACACGUACUUUUUGGGUGCAUAAUACUUCAACGCUGCAGUUUAACCAGAUCACGGCCAGAUUAAUGUACAUUUCAGAUCAUGCUUAUUUCUGGCAGGAUGUGGCAGUGAAUCAGGAAGUGAGUGCGGAAGAUUGGUCCUAUGCGGGCGAAAGUUUCGACAGUUCUUAUGAACGCGUACGUGCUGUAUUUGGACAGGAGGAAUCGCUCGGU
This 233-nucleotide unclassified non-coding RNA is filed under the name fungal sp. RNAcentral's name for it is "partial internal transcribed spacer region". Lineage: Eukaryota; Fungi. The record is from RNAcentral.